UAACUGGAGAGUUUGAUCCUGGCUCAGAACGAACGCUGGCGGCAUGCCUAACACAUGCAAGUCGAACGAGAAAGUUUCCUUCGGGGAACUAGUAAAGUGGCGCAAGGGUGAGUAACACGUGAAUAAUCUGCCUACGAAUUCGGGAUAACUCGGCGAAAGUUGUGCUAAUACCGGAUAAGACCACACUCCUAAUGGAGCGUGGCCAAAGGAGUCUCAAACUCCGUUUGUAGAUGAGUUCGCGGACCAUUAGCUUGUUGGCGGGAUAACAGCCCACCAAGGCGACGAUGGUUAGCCGGCCUGAGAGGGCGAUCGGCCACACUGGAACUGAGACACGGUCCAGACUCCUACGGGAGGCAGCAGUGGGGAAUAUUGCGCAAUGGGCGAAAGCCUGACGCAGCAAUGCCGCGUGAGGGAUGAAGGCUUUUGGGUCGUAAACCUCUGUCGGAUGGGAAGAAUAAUGACGGUACCAUCAGAGGAAGCCCCGGCUAACUCCGUGCCAGCAGCCGCGGUAAUACGGAGGGGGCAAGCGUUGUUCGGAAUUAUUGGGCGUAAAGAGUAUGUAGGCGGCUUAUUAAGUCAGGCGUGUAAGCCCACGGCUCAACCGUGGAAUUGCGUCUGAAACUAUUAGGCUUGAGUGCAGGAGAGGAAGGCGGAAUUCCCAGUGUAGCGGUGAAAUGCAUUGAUAUUGGGAAGAACACCGGUGGCGAAGGCGGCCUUCUGGUCUGUUACUGACGCUGAGAUACGAAAGCCAGGGGAGCAAAGGGGAUUAGAUACCCCCGUAGUCCUGGCCGUAAACGAUGGGCACUAGGUGGAGGAGGUAUCGAUCCCUUCUCUGUCGCAGCUAACGCAUUAAGUGCCCCGCCUGGGGAGUACGGUCGCAAGGCUGAAACUCAAAGGAAUUGACGGGGGCCCGCACAAGCGGUGGAGCAUGUGGUUUAAUUCGA
This 944-nucleotide ribosomal RNA is filed under the name Nitrospinaceae bacterium. RNAcentral describes it as "bacterial SSU rRNA". It matches the Rfam family "Bacterial small subunit ribosomal RNA", at positions 1 to 954 of the family's 1533-position model. Lineage: Bacteria; Pseudomonadati; Nitrospinota; Nitrospinia; Nitrospinales; Nitrospinaceae. The record is from RNAcentral.